Molecule: ribosomal RNA, 207 nt
Filed under: uncultured Clostridium sp.
Lineage: Bacteria; Bacillati; Bacillota; Clostridia; Eubacteriales; Clostridiaceae
Description: partial 16S ribosomal RNA
Rfam family: Bacterial small subunit ribosomal RNA
Source: RNAcentral
AGCGUAGGCGGACUUUUAAGUGAGAUGUGAAAUACCCGGGCUCAACUCGGGUGCUGCAUUUCAAACUGGAAGUCUAGAGUGCAGGAGAGGAGAAUGGAAUUCCUAGUGUAGCGGUGAAAUGCGUAGAGAUUAGGAAGAACACCAGUGGCGAAGGCGAUUCUCUGGACUGUAACUGACGCUGAGGCUCGAAAGCGUGGGGAGCAAACA